Molecule: ribosomal RNA, 405 nt
Filed under: uncultured bacterium
Lineage: Bacteria
Description: partial 16S ribosomal RNA
Rfam family: Bacterial small subunit ribosomal RNA
Source: RNAcentral
GAUGAACGCUGGCGGCAUGCCUAAUACAUGCAAGUCGAGCGAAUAGGGGACGGGGGAGUAACACGUGGAUAACCACCUAUAAGACGGGGAUAACUUCGGGAAAACGGAGCUAAUACGGCUAAUUAUAGAUGGAUCCGCGCUGCCUUAUCUAGUUGGUAAGGUAACGGCUUACCAAAGCAACGAAGCAUAGCCGACAUGGGAGGGUGAUCGGCCCACACGGAACUGAGACAAGGUCCCGACUCCUACUGGACGCAGCAGUAGGGAAUCUUCCGCAAUGGGCGAAAGCCUGACGGAGCAACGCCGCGUGAGUGAUGAAGGGCUUCGGAUCGUAAAACUCUGUUAUUAGUGAAGCGGUACCUAAUCAGAAAGCCACGGCUAACUACGUGCCAGCCGCCGCGGUAAUAC